AGUUUGCCAUGAUGAAAUGCAUGUUAAGUCCGUGUUUCAGCUGAUCAUCCUGAUUAAAUACAUGCUCUGAGCAGACU
Molecule: small nucleolar RNA, 77 nt
Organism: Pteropus vampyrus (large flying fox)
Lineage: Eukaryota; Metazoa; Chordata; Mammalia; Chiroptera; Pteropodidae
Gene: SNORD126
Product: small nucleolar RNA, C/D box 126
Source: Ensembl